This 449-nucleotide ribosomal RNA is filed under the name uncultured bacterium. Its description in RNAcentral is "partial 16S ribosomal RNA". It matches the Rfam family "Bacterial small subunit ribosomal RNA", at positions 29 to 507 of the family's 1533-position model. The record is from RNAcentral.
AAUGAACGCUAGCGGUAGGCCUAACACAUGCAAGUUGAACGCAUACUUUUACAGUAUAAGUAGCAAACGGGUGAGUAACGCGUGAGAAAUCUACCUUACAAUCUGGGAUAAAAUCCCGGAUUCUUUCUAAACUAGAUGUUCCGACAAAUAGUAUAGAAUAAAAGAUUAAAUGUCGUUGUAAGAUGUGCUCGCGUAGGAUUAGGUAGUUGGUGAGGUAAAAGCUACACCAAGCCGAAGAUCCUUAGCUGGUCUGAGAGGAUGAUCAGCCACACUGGGACUGAGACACGGCCCAGACGCUUUCGAGCGGCAGCAGUGAGGAAUUUUGGACAAUGGGCGAAAGCCUGAUCCAGCCAUAUCGCAUGAGUGAAGAAGGCUCAAUUGGUUGUAAAGCUCUGAUUUGAUUGAAGAUUAUGACAUAAGAUAAAAGAAUAGUCCCGGCUAACUUCGUG